Molecule: ribosomal RNA, 253 nt
Filed under: uncultured bacterium
Lineage: Bacteria
Description: partial 16S ribosomal RNA
Rfam family: Archaeal small subunit ribosomal RNA
Source: RNAcentral
UACCCGCAGCUCAAGUGGUGGUCAUUAUUAUUGGGCCUAAAGCGUCCGUAGCUGGCUUGUUAGAUGCCUGGGUAAAUCGAUGCGCUUAACGCAUCGAAUUCCGGGUAGACCGGCAAGCUCGAGGCCGGGAGAGGCGUGAGCUACUCAAGGGGUAGGGGUAAAAUCCUGUAAUCCUUUGGGGAGGACCAGUGGCGAAGGCGUCACGCUAGAACGGCUCUGACAGUGAGGGACGAAGCCCUGGGGCGCAAACCGG